RNAcentral lists this ribosomal RNA (235 nucleotides) under uncultured bacterium. RNAcentral's name for it is "partial 16S ribosomal RNA". It matches the Rfam family "Bacterial small subunit ribosomal RNA", at positions 524 to 752 of the family's 1533-position model. The record is from RNAcentral.
UACGUAGGGGGGCAAGCGUUUGUCCGGAAUUAUUGGGCGUAAAGAGCGCGUAGGCGGUCCGAUAAGUCGGCUGUGAAAAGUCAGGGGGCUCAACCCCUUGAAAGCCGGCCGAUACUGUCGGACUAGAGUCCGGAAGAGGCAAAGUGGAAUUCCCGGUGUAGCGGUGAAAUGCGCAGAUAUCGGGAGGAACACCAAUGGCGAAGGCAGCUUGCUGGGACGGUACUGACGCUGAGGC